Macaca mulatta (Rhesus monkey) is the source of this 634-nucleotide non-coding RNA. Lineage: Eukaryota; Metazoa; Chordata; Mammalia; Primates; Cercopithecidae. The record is from RefSeq and is a predicted model, not a curated record.
AUCAUGCGCCGUGUGGCGCUGCGGCGCGCGGCAGGGGCUGAGUUCGCGGAGGCGGCUGAGACGCUGCAUUGGGCGGCUAGAAGUGCUCGGCGUGCUGGCUCCCGGGAGAGGAAGGUCCAGGGCGGGCCGGAGACAUGCACACCACAGAGCGUGGCGAUGGAACAGUAACCGGGCUUGUGAGAGGGCUCUACAAUAUCAACUAGGAGACAAGAUCCACGGAUUCACCAUAAACCAGCAUAGUAACUAAAAAUGACAACACUUCACAUAUUUGGACAGCUGUUGGCUCUGUGCUAUGCUUGAUGUUGUAGCAAAUUUAAAAAACAACUUACCGUCUAGAAAGACUGAUGCGGCUGUGACUGGAGGCACAUGGUAGACGCCAUGGGGAGGGCCAAGGACAAGGGCGGGAGCUGCUGCUGCUGCUGCUGCUGGGGGGAGAGGGAAGAGCUCCUGGAGAGGGUGGUGUGAGAAAGCAGCUGCCUCUGGGCAGGGCUCCAGCAAGGGAACCAGGGCAGUGACUAGGGGGUCCCAGGCAAGGUCCAGGCAUGGGAGUCCUGACAACAGACUCAGAGCAUUUGUGAAAUCCUGCAAAGUGAGGGCAAAGACACCUCACUCUGGGUGAGGCCUUAUUAAUAGU